GGGAUGAGCUGUGGAUAGGGGUGAAAGGCCAAUCAAACUUCGUGAUAGCUGGUUCUCUCCGAAAUGCAUUUAGGUGCAGCGUCGUAUUAUAGCUUGGUGGAGGUAGAGCGACUGGUUGGUUGAGCGGGACUACAAUCUUAGCAAUGUCAGCCAAACUCCGAAUGCCACUAAUUGUGUUGUACGGCAGUGAGACUGUGGGGGAUAAGCUUCAUAGUCGAGAGGGAAACAGCCCAGAUCGCCGGCUAAGGUCCCCAAGUCGUGGCUAAGUGGGAAAGGAUGUGGGACUCCCAAAACAACCAGGAGGUUGGCUUAGAAGCAGCCAUCCUUGAAAGAGUGCGUAAUAGCUCACUGGUCAAGUGAUUCCGCGCCGAUAAUGUAGCGGGGCUUAAGUUAUCCGCCGAAGCUGUGGCAACCUGUGUGGUUGGGUAGGGGAGCGUCGUGUCAGUGGUGAAGCUGCCGGGUGACUGUGUGGUGGAGUUGAUGCGAGUGAGAAUGCAGGCAUGAGUAGCGAAAGACGGGUGAGAAACCCGUCCGCCGGAUGACUAAGGGUUCCAGGGUCAAGCUAAUCUGCCCUGGGUAAGUCGGGACCUAAGGCGAGGCCGAAAGGCGUAGUCGAUGGACAACA
This 625-nucleotide ribosomal RNA is filed under the name Aurantiochytrium limacinum. RNAcentral describes it as "partial Bacterial large subunit ribosomal RNA". It matches the Rfam family "Bacterial large subunit ribosomal RNA", at positions 801 to 1427 of the family's 2925-position model. The record is from RNAcentral. Lineage: Eukaryota; Bigyra; Thraustochytrida; Thraustochytriidae.